CCCAUCCAGGCUCUGGUGCUCCAGCACCCUAUCCAGACUCAGAGAAGCUCAAGUAGAUAGUUCAACCAUCACUGGCUGGCUAGAAUGAAGCUACACUUACUGCAGCUAUCUACAGCUUAAUAGUGAUAGUUACAAUAACUUUAUACCAGUUAGAUCUAGCUAGCUAGCCUAAAAAACUUAAUUUUAUUCGAUCGUUACUGGGAUAUCCAUGGGAACUAAUAAAGAGUGGGGAGGGGCUCAAUAAUAAGGCUAGGCAGCAGGAAGUGGUUUGCUGUAUCAAACACUUGAGCUUGCCUCACAACAUGCAGCACAACAAGGUUCUUGGAUCCAGGUACGUACUGGUGGUCAUACUUUGUACGCUGCCUGUCACCUCCUGGUAAGCUGAUCAAUCUUUUAGUGGCCUGAAAAGAAAAGAAUCAAGACUGUCGUCAGAUCAAGCAAAGGAACAAACGUUUAUCAUCACUUAAUAACUUCUACAUUUACACAGAGACUAGACAUGAUUGCAUUGACAUUUGACAUACCUUAAGAAGAGUUGGCUAGAGUUUGCCAUCCCAGGCGAAUUGAGCUUCUGGUCGUAAACAUUCUUGAUUUGCUGAUGGCACUGUCACGUCAGUACUGUGGCUGUGCACCAUCUAGAAAACAGUGGGCGUUGCCGACAAAAGGAGGCGUGAUCCCGGAAGUGGGCGUGGUCUAAAUUUUGCGGCGCGCAUCGCCCCUGUUGAAGUGUCUGUACGCUGGUGUUUAUGUGGGUACCGUACCGACCGGCUAUGGCAAGUCCCAGAGCAAGUCCAUCUGCUUUCCAGACACUCCCUUUCUUGAUUGAUGUGAAGCUUGACAGGACCAGUGCACCUCUCUCUGAAAGAAGUGUUGUGAUGGUGAUUUCUCCUCUUGUUUCUCUGAGUGAAGCCAUCUUCAAAGUGUUGGUGUGUCUGUUCGACGUUCAGUGCCAUUUCUCUCUGGAAGGAAGUAUUGUUGUGACAUUUGCCGAAAAUUGGUCACAGAGUAAGUACGUGGUAUCUGAUCCGAGAACUGUGUGGCCUGAAUGUGUUUACAAUCCGUGUAUCCGAUCCGAGGGACUUGUUGCUUGAGUGUGUAUCCGGACUUGUUGCUUGAGUGUGUAUUAAUGGAUAGUGCUUUCAAUGGUUUAACUAAUUUCUUAUGAGAUUAACUUGUCGCCUGAGUGUGUAUCCGAUCCAAGCCUCAAGUUAAUGAAUAAAUCUACAGAGCUGAUGUUUUACUUAGCUGUCUCUGUCUACAGUAUAUGCAGAGAGGUAGCCUCUUCUUUUUCUUUUUUCUGUUCUUUAUCACAAUAAGAUAAAAUACUGUUUUAACGUUCAAUGAGAUAAAUACGGUAAAUAAUAAA
This is a long non-coding RNA of Halichondria panicea, 1363 nucleotides long. RefSeq lists it as uncharacterized. The transcript has 3 exons. The record is from RefSeq and is a predicted model, not a curated record. Lineage: Eukaryota; Metazoa; Porifera; Demospongiae; Suberitida; Halichondriidae.